RNAcentral lists this small RNA (127 nucleotides) under Marmota monax (woodchuck). The record is from RNAcentral. Lineage: Eukaryota; Metazoa; Chordata; Mammalia; Rodentia; Sciuridae.
GCCGGGUGCGGUGGCCCACGCCUGUCAUCCCAGCGGCUGGGGAGACUGAGACAGGAGGAUCGCCAGUUGGAGGCCAGCCUCAGCCACUUAGCGAGGCCCUGAGCAACUCAGGGAGACCCUGUCUCUA